RNAcentral lists this transfer RNA (74 nucleotides) under Dactylellina haptotyla CBS 200.50. Its description in RNAcentral is "tRNA-Ile (AAT) (tRNA-Ile-AAT-2-1, tRNA-Ile-AAT-2-2)". It matches the Rfam family "tRNA". From Rfam's summary of the family: Transfer RNA (tRNA) molecules are approximately 80 nucleotides in length. Their secondary structure includes four short double-helical elements and three loops (D, anti-codon, and T loops). Further hydrogen bonds mediate the characteristic L-shaped molecular structure. tRNAs have two regions of fundamental functional importance: the anti-codon, which is responsible for specific mRNA codon recognition, and the 3' end, to which the tRNAs corresponding amino acid is attached (by aminoacyl-tRNA synthetases). tRNAs cope with the degeneracy of the genetic code in two manners: having more than one tRNA (with a specific anti-codon) for a particular amino acid; and 'wobble' base-pairing, i.e. permitting non-standard base-pairing at the 3rd anti-codon position. Lineage: Eukaryota; Fungi; Ascomycota; Orbiliomycetes; Orbiliales; Orbiliaceae. The record is from Rfam by way of RNAcentral.
GGUCCCAUAGCUCAGUUGGUUAGAGCGUCGUGCUAAUAACGCGAAGGCCGCGAGUUCGACCCUCGUUGGGACCA